UGGUCUAGUGGUCAGAACGCUGGCCUUGUAAUCCUGGGGUCCCGGGUUCAAUUCCCGG
Non-coding RNA from Zootermopsis nevadensis, 58 nucleotides. The record is from Rfam. Lineage: Eukaryota; Metazoa; Arthropoda; Insecta; Blattodea; Termopsidae.